GACGAACCGUGCGAACGUUGUUCGGAUUCACUGGGCUUAAAGGGCGCGUAGGCGGCUUGUCAAGUCAGGGGUGAAAUCUUUCGGCUCAACCGGAAAACGGCUCCUGAUACUGGCAGGCUUGAGGGAGGUAGGGGCAGAUGGAACUUCCGGUGGAGCGGUGAAAUGCGUAGAUAUCGGAAGGAACGCCGGUGGCGAAAGCGACGUGCUGGACCUCUUCUGACGCUGAGGCGCGAAAGCUAGGGGAGCAAACGGG
This 253-nucleotide ribosomal RNA is filed under the name uncultured bacterium. Its description in RNAcentral is "partial 16S ribosomal RNA". It matches the Rfam family "Bacterial small subunit ribosomal RNA", at positions 524 to 776 of the family's 1533-position model. The record is from RNAcentral.